Cicer arietinum (chickpea) is the source of this 880-nucleotide non-coding RNA. The record is from RefSeq and is a predicted model, not a curated record. Lineage: Eukaryota; Viridiplantae; Streptophyta; Magnoliopsida; Fabales; Fabaceae.
CUAACUCUUAACUAUGAUUUUAUGGUUGUAGAUCACCUGCUGCAUCACCAGUUCUGCAAAGUGAACCCUUCAUCAUUCAAACAGCUCUAAAUCUAGUUGGCAUAGUGUUGUUUCUCUUAGAAACUUCCAAUUUGUGACACUGAAGGGUGAUGUUUUGGAAGACCCAGCAAAUGAACCUAAAAAAGAUAUGUACAUGUUGACUUGACUGUUGACCCUGAGGAUGCUCCAAAUCAACCAGAAUAUGUGGAGAUCGGUUUUGAGUCAGGCAUUCCAGUUUCGUUGAACGGGAAGAGACUUUCUCCGGGAAAUUUGGUUGUUGAGCUGAAUGAGAUAGGUGGAAGGCACGGAAUAGGCCAUGUGGACUUAGUUGAAGACCGCAAUGUAGGCAUGAAAGCCGGGGAGUAUAUGAAACUCCAGGAGACACCAUUCUCUUCAUUGCAGCAAGGGACUUAGAGUGUUUAACACUUGAUCAAGAAACACUUCAGCUCAAAGACUCAUUAUCACUUAAAUACGCAGAAUUAGUGUAUGUUGGAAGGUGGUUCGAUCCACUUCGCAAGUGGAUGGGUGCGUUCAUGGAGAAGAUCUCGGAGACUACAACAAGAUCGGUGAGUUUGAAACUGUAUAAAGGUUGUGCUUCUGUGACAGGUCGGAAGAGUCCUUAUAGUUUGUAAUAGGGAAGAUAUUUCUUCAUUUGAGAGGGGAGAGAUAUAUAUCAUGCUGGUGUUGUUGGGUUUAUAAGGCUUUAUGGUCUUCCAAUGAGGAUCAGAGCAAUGAUGGAACAAGGCAUUUAAAUGUUGUUUUCCUUUUGUACUUUGUUUGUAUCAUUAUGUGUGUGUCUGCGUGUGUAUAUUUUCUUGUUCUUGUCAAUGUUUGUGGAAAA